RNAcentral lists this long non-coding RNA (445 nucleotides) under Anas platyrhynchos platyrhynchos (common mallard). Its description in RNAcentral is "lncRNA (ENSAPLG00000026292.1)". The record is from RNAcentral. Lineage: Eukaryota; Metazoa; Chordata; Aves; Anseriformes; Anatidae.
CAGAGAUUCAGAUCUGAUGGGUGGGAUGUAUUCCUGUGCAACAUCAGUCUGUUACCCACUGACGAAAGUACUCUCCUGGCUGAUGGAAGUCUUUAAAGAACAACUGAACAUGUUUUUUUUUCUGCACAAAUGCUUUGACCAUUAAGCACUUGGAUGAUCUUUGACAUUACAAAAUAAAUUGCUCCUGCAUGAAGGAAGAUGCAGAAAUAUCAGAGACCCAGGCAUCUUGGUCUGCAUUCAGGGGAAAGCUCUGGUGCUACACUGAAAAUUCAUAGACUACUUGUUGCAUGGCUGGCAAACUGGGAUACAUGGCCUCGAGCAGGGACUAAGCUCCCUGCAAGCUCCUGGCUGUUGAACGCACAGGAAAGACAUUUGGAAAUGUCUGUACUGACAGAAAAGCAACAGCUGAGGAGAGAUAAUGGAAGAACUCUCUAAGAUCUGUACC